CAUCCUGGAAGCGGAUUGAAAUCCAGGUCCCACAUCUUCAGUUUUUUAGGAGGGAUCCGGAUCCGGCCUGUUGAACCCUAUUCUUCAACAAUCCAGUUGACCCAAUCAUGAGUGUUGGCCAGCCUAUGAUGUGCUCUGUAAGUGGCCUCAGUCAGAUGCAGUAUAUCAUUCCUGAGAUAUGGCAGUUUACUUACCUAACCAAACUGUAUUCUUAUGCUGUGCAUCAUGGAAACAAUCUGGAAGAUUGUAAAUCAUUAUUUCUCCAUGCGGGUUGGAAAGGAAAAGCGAAGAUAGCUAAUCGUUAUACUACGAUGAAUUUAUUCCUACUAUUUGUAAUUAUUAUUUUUAAAC
RNAcentral lists this long non-coding RNA (351 nucleotides) under Androctonus crassicauda. Lineage: Eukaryota; Metazoa; Arthropoda; Arachnida; Scorpiones; Buthidae. The record is from RNAcentral.